RNAcentral lists this ribosomal RNA (402 nucleotides) under Triticum aestivum (bread wheat). Its description in RNAcentral is "partial small subunit ribosomal RNA". Lineage: Eukaryota; Viridiplantae; Streptophyta; Magnoliopsida; Poales; Poaceae. The record is from RNAcentral.
AUGACAAAUACUGUACAACAAAGUAACGCUAUGGAAAGCCCCACAGACCAGUCCAAUUGGCCGUCGCACGCACGCCGACGUCGUACAGAAGCAGAUAUAGAAAGUGGUGGUCAAAAGAAGAAGGGGCGAGGUGUCCUCAAAGGAAUCAAGGUCGCCAAGAAGCGAUUCGCCAAUGGUUCCUCAAAGCUUCACAUUGAAUUUUCCAAAACAUUGGGAGGUUCUAUCGGAGAGAACUAUCGUAUGUUUGUGGACGACGUGGUGGUUUACAUGAAAAGGAAGGCACCAUUCAUUGGUGUGAACAAGUGGUCUGCCAUUGAUUCUUCUGUGAAGGAUUCAAUCGUUGCUGAUUUUAUUGCUAAGUGGGAUUUGGAGGACACAUAUUCUACGAAGGGAAAAAUACUA